ACGCUGGCGGCGUGCCUAACACAUGCAAGUCGAACGAAGCACUUUGAUCGAUUUCUUCGGAUUGAAAUUUAGUGACUGAGUGGCGGACGGGUGAGUAACGCGUGGGUAACCUGCCUCACACAGGGGGAUAACAGUUGGAAACGGCUGCUAAUACCGCAUAAGCGCACAGCACCGCAUGGUACAGUGUGAAAAAACUCCGGUGGUGUGAGAUGGACCCGCGUCUGAUUAGCUAGUUGGCAGGGUAACGGCCUACCAAGGCGACGAUCAGUAGCCGACCUGAGAGGGUGACCGGCCACAUUGGGACUGAGACACGGCCCAAACUCCUACGGGAGGCAGCAGUGGGGAAUAUUGCACAAUGGGGGAAACCCUGAUGCAGCGACGCCGCGUGAGCGAAGAAGUAUUUCGGUAUGUAAAGCUCUAUCAGCAGGGAAGAAAAAAUGACGGUACCUGACUAAGAAGCCCCGGCUAACUACGUG
RNAcentral lists this ribosomal RNA (476 nucleotides) under uncultured bacterium. Its description in RNAcentral is "bacterial SSU rRNA". It matches the Rfam family "Bacterial small subunit ribosomal RNA", at positions 33 to 507 of the family's 1533-position model. The record is from RNAcentral.